GGCAAGGUGGCCUAGUGGAAAGAACAUAGGACUGGAAAUCAGAAGACCUGGAUUCCAAUUCUAGUUUUGCCA
Molecule: transfer RNA, 72 nt
Filed under: Ornithorhynchus anatinus (platypus)
Lineage: Eukaryota; Metazoa; Chordata; Mammalia; Monotremata; Ornithorhynchidae
Rfam family: tRNA
About the family: Transfer RNA (tRNA) molecules are approximately 80 nucleotides in length.
Source: Rfam by way of RNAcentral